AAAAGUCUUUGAAGUGAGUAAUGGCUCCUCACUCUCUGGAGGGGCCAUCACUGGCAUUGUGUUUGGAAUCCUAAUUGGAGCUACUCUCUUUGGGGUCUUCAUCUAUUUCUACUUCUUCAGGGACAGGGCCAUCAAAUACCAGGUUCAGAGAAGAACCAUUCAGCACGCAAACAUGGUGAGGACAUCACCCUAUAUGAAAACAAUAUUUGCCUACAAGGUUCACUUCUGCCUGCACAGGACCUGGGCUCCUCUCCUGCUUUUCCUGAAGUCCCACUUGAGAGUUCCUAUCAGAUACAAGAAAAAAAACCACUGGAUAAAAUUCAGCACCCAUUUUUAUUAAAAAAACACUAGAGAAUAUAUACAUCAUCAGUUUCCUUAAAAUGAUCAGUUGCGAAUGGAUGUCCAUCAAUUGGAGAAUGGCUGAAUAAACUGUAUAUGAAUAUUAUGGAAUAUUACUGUUCUGUAAGAAAUGACCAACAGGAUGAUUUCAGAAAGGCCUGGAGAGACUUACACGAACUGAUGCUGAGUGAAAUGAGCAGGACCAGGAGAUCAUUAUAUACUUCAACAACAAUACUAUAUGAUGACCACUUCUGAUGGACCUGGCCAUCCUCAGCAACGAGAUCAACCAAAUCAUUUCCAAUGGAGCAGUAAUGAACUGAACCAAGUAUGCCCAGAGAAAGAACUUUGGGAGAUAACUAAAAACCAUUACAUUGAAUUCCCAAUCCCUAUAUUUAUGCCCACCUGCAUUUUUGAUUUCCUUCACAAGCUAAUUGUACAAUAUUUCAGAGUCUGAUUCUUUUUAUACAGCAAAAUAA
RNAcentral lists this long non-coding RNA (815 nucleotides) under Sarcophilus harrisii (Tasmanian devil). RNAcentral describes it as "lncRNA (ENSSHAG00000024342.1)". The record is from RNAcentral. Lineage: Eukaryota; Metazoa; Chordata; Mammalia; Dasyuromorphia; Dasyuridae.